GCAGAGGAAAAGAAACCAACUGGGAUUACCUUAGUAACGGCGAGUGAAGCGGUAAAAGCUCAAAUUUGAAAUCUGGUACUUUCAGUGCCCGAGUUGUAAUUUGUAGAAUUUGUCUUUGAUUAGGUCCUUGUCUAUGUUCCUUGGAACAGGACGUCAUAGAGGGUGAGAAUCCCGUUUGGCGAGGAUACCUUUUCUCUGUAAGACUUUUUCGAAGAGUCGAGUUGUUUGGGAAUGCAGCUCAAAGUGGGUGGUAAAUUCCAUCUAAAGCUAAAUAUUGGCGAGAGACCGAUAGCGAACAAGUACAGUGAUGGAAAGAUGAAAAGAACUUUGAAAAGAGAGUGAAAAAGUACGUGAAAUUGUUGAAAGGGAAGGGCAUUUGAUCAGACAUGGUGUUUUUUGCAUGCACUCGCCUCUCGUGGGCUUGGGCCUCUCAAAAAUUUCACUGGGCCAACAUCAAUUCUGGCAGCAGGAUAAAUCAUUAAGAAUGUAGCUACUUCGGUAGUGUUAUAGCUUUUUGGAAUACUGUUAGCCGGGAUUGAGGACUGCGCUUCGGCAAGGAUGUUGGCAUAAUGGUUAAAUGCCGCCCGUCUUG
This 592-nucleotide ribosomal RNA is filed under the name Hanseniaspora uvarum. RNAcentral's name for it is "eukaryotic LSU rRNA". It matches the Rfam family "Eukaryotic large subunit ribosomal RNA", at positions 50 to 656 of the family's 3401-position model. Lineage: Eukaryota; Fungi; Ascomycota; Saccharomycetes; Saccharomycodales; Saccharomycodaceae. The record is from RNAcentral.